GGAUGAUGGAAGGAAAGAGCUUCUUCAGAGGGAGCUGAGGAAAAAGGAAAGCACAUGAGUGGCGUGUCCAGGAAGGCCUGGCUGCUUUGGCCAGACCCCUGGAGCAGCUAUUGCAAUGGUACAGAUUUGUAGCACAAUCUUUCCAAGAUGACAGCAAAGAAAAUGAUUUUUUAAACAGUGACCAAGAAAAGAAGAUUGAAAGCAAACAACUUACAGAA
Molecule: long non-coding RNA, 218 nt
Organism: Dipodomys spectabilis (banner-tailed kangaroo rat)
Lineage: Eukaryota; Metazoa; Chordata; Mammalia; Rodentia; Heteromyidae
Exons: 3
Source: RefSeq, a predicted model, not a curated record